RNAcentral lists this unclassified non-coding RNA (240 nucleotides) under Cladophialophora sp. Its description in RNAcentral is "partial contains 5.8S ribosomal RNA, internal transcribed spacer 2, and large subunit ribosomal RNA". The stretch from base 1 to 52 matches the Rfam family "5.8S ribosomal RNA", at positions 103 to 154 of the family's 154-position model. The record is from RNAcentral. Lineage: Eukaryota; Fungi; Ascomycota; Eurotiomycetes; Chaetothyriales; Herpotrichiellaceae.
AACGCACAUUGCGCCCCCUGGUAUUCCGGGGGGCAUGCCUGUCCGAGCGUCACUACAACCCUCAAGCCUAGCUUGGUGUUGGGCUCCGCCGCCUGGCGGGCCCUAAAGUCAGUGGCGGUGCCGUCCAGCUCCGAGCGUAGUAAUUCUUCUCGCUCUGGAGGCCUGGGCGCGUGCUUGCCAGCAACCCCCCAAUUUUAUCAGGUUGACCUCGGAUCAGGUAGGGAUACCCGCCGAACUUAA